GUCUACGGCCAUACCACCCUGAACGCGCCCGAUCUCGUCUGAUCUCAGAAGCUAAGCAGGGUCGGGCCUGGUUAGUACUUGGAUGGGAGAAAGUAUUAACAAAAUCACUAAAGCUA
RNAcentral lists this ribosomal RNA (116 nucleotides) under Neogale vison (American mink). Lineage: Eukaryota; Metazoa; Chordata; Mammalia; Carnivora; Mustelidae. The record is from RNAcentral.